Molecule: long non-coding RNA, 452 nt
Organism: Pomacea canaliculata
Lineage: Eukaryota; Metazoa; Mollusca; Gastropoda; Architaenioglossa; Ampullariidae
Exons: 4
Source: RefSeq, a predicted model, not a curated record
UUGAGAAUAUAGUAAAACUCUCAGCAUUUGAACGUAUUUUUUAAUCCAAAUCUAUUUUUUAAAAUUAAAUUUCUAUAGUUUUAUGUAGUGUUGUAAAUCUGGCUACAUUUUAAUCAAUGUUAGGUUUUAUCUUUUAAAUUAUAUUAAAAUAUACGGAAUCUGUAGAUAUUUGCAUCCUCAAAAAAGAAAGCAUCAUCAACGCUCAGAGAUGAAAGUGAAAAUAUGUAGGUAAUGUAUUCUUUAGUUCAUAAUAAAUCAUUGACAUUCAUUGUGUGUUACACGAUGCAGUUUUGUGUACACUGGUAGAGUUAAACUGGACAGCUGUUGCUACUUGGCGAUGGGUUGCCAAUGAUGAUAACUGUGGGAUAUGCCGUAUGCCAUUUGAUGGAUGUUGUCCUGACUGCAAGUUACCUGGGGAUGAUUGCCCCCUGGUGUGGGGACAAUGCUCGCAU